RNAcentral lists this long non-coding RNA (5415 nucleotides) under Salmo salar (Atlantic salmon). RNAcentral describes it as "lncRNA (ENSSSAG00000083354.1)". The record is from RNAcentral. Lineage: Eukaryota; Metazoa; Chordata; Actinopteri; Salmoniformes; Salmonidae.
AAAUGAUAAAAAAAAAAAAAAUUUAUUUUAAACAACAACAUAUAAACAUUCGUCAAAACACCUGCAGCAGAUUCAUACUGAUGAUGUCAUAUCCCUGCGCGGAAAAUGGGGGGGUUUAACGCCGUGUUCACUUGCUAGUCGGAACUAGGAAAUUCAGACUUUCUAACUGGUUGAACGCGGGCGCGUGUGUAACCACAACCAGUUAGCAUGUCUGAAAUGUCCAAGUUCCGAUUAGCACGUGAACACGGAACGGGAUUGUUUUGAAAGGAAGCCAUUUUGUUUUUAGUCACCCUCUACCUGCCUGCCAUGUUCUCAUCAAGGCAAAACAUUUUAUCAACAUAAAAGAAAUGUAAAAAAAAACAAACAUAAUUGAAUGUUAUAAAUCUAUCAAAUAAAAUCUCCAGUUUUAAACCAAUCCCUUUUUCAUAUAAAACAUAUAUAUAUAUAUUUAUCAUACCUUUAAAAAAAAUAUAGAUUUAACAAUGAAGCAACUCCACCAGCCAACAGAGCCGAGAAGAACAAGAUACAUAUUUUUAGAACAGUUUGUUGACACAGAAUUAAAACUAUGAUCUGCCUUUAUUUCUGGUUUACAUGCUGUACUUGUUUUCAAGAAUAUGUUUUGGUAUAGAACAUGAUAUUAUUCAAUGUCUGCAUACAGAAAACCCCCGUCGUAUUGUUGUCAUAUCUAUACAGAACAUUAUAUUAUUCAAUGUCUGCAUACAGAAAACCCCCGUCGUAUUGUUGUCAUAUCUAUACAGAACAUUAUAUUAUUCAAUGUCUGCAUACAGAAAACCCCCCGUCGUAUUGUUGUCAUAUCUAUACAGAACAUGAUAUUAUUCAAUGUCUGCAUACAGAAAACCCCCGUCGUAUUGUUGUCAUAUCUAUACAGAACAUGAUAUUAUUCAAUGUCUGCAUACAGAAAACCCUCCGUCGUAUUGUUGUCAUAUCUAUACAGAACAUGAUAUUAUUCAAUGUCUGCAUACAGAAAACCCCCGUCGUAUUGUUGUCAUAUCUAUACAGAACAUGAUAUUAUUCAAUGUCUGCAUACAGAAAACCCCCCGUCGUAUUGUUGUCAUAUCUAUACAGAACACGAUAUUAUUCAAUGUCUGCAUACAGAAAACCCCCGUCGUAUUGUUGUCAUAUCUAUACAGAACAUUAUAUUAGUCAAUGUCUGCAUACAGAAAACCCUCCGUCGUAUUGUUGUCAUAUCUAUACAGAACAUGAUAUUAGUCAAUGUCUGCAUACAGAAAACCCUCCGUCGUAUUGUUGUCAUAUCUAUACAGAACAUUAUAUUAUUCAAUGUCUGCAUACAGAAAACCCCCGUCGUAUUGUUGUCAUAUCUAUACAGAACAUUAUAUUAGUCAAUGUCUGCAUACAGAAAACCCCCGUCGUAUUGUUGUCAUAUCUAUACAGAACACGAUAUUAUUCAAUGUCUGCAUACAGAAAACCCCCGUCGUAUUGUUGUCAUAUCUAUACAGAACACGAUAUUAUUCAAUGUCUGCAUACAGAAAACCCCCCGUCGUAUUGUUGUCAUAUCUAUACAGAACAUGAUAUUAUUCAAUAUCUGCAUACAGAAAACCCCCGUCGUAUUGUUGUCAUAUCUAUACAGAACAUGAUAUUAUUCAAUGUCUGCAUACAGAAAACCCCCGUCGUAUUGUUGUCAUAUCUAUACAGAACAUUAUAUUAUUCAAUGUCUGCAUACAGAAAACCCCCGUCGUAUUGUUGUCAUAUCUAUACAGAACAUGAUAUUAUUCAAUGUCUGCAUACAGAAAACCCCCCGUCGUAUUGUUGUCAUUAUCUGUCAUAUAUUUUCACACACCUGUUUCUCAGCCUUAGAAGGAGUAAGUUGUCCCGGGGUCAUGUUGAAUACAUUAAGCAAAGGGCACCAAGAUCAGUGGGUUUACAAAUGACUAUACAUUAUUCACGUGUAUGUGGAAGACGAUUCAAGUAACGUCUUCUGUACAUCUGUCUCUUUGUCUCCUGUCCUCUCUGCAGGUCAUCAGAGCAGUGCUGCUUUCUCCUGUCCAUAUCAGACACAGUGUUGUCCACCUGGUUUAAAUCUCUGUCUGUUUGUGUCCUCUCUUCUCUGCAGGUCAUCAGAGCAGUGCUGGUGUCUCCUGUCCAUAUCAGACACAGUGUUGUCCACCUGGUUUAAAUCUCUGUCUGUUUGUGUCCUCUCUUCUCUGCAGGUCAUCAGAGCAGUGCUGGUGUCUCCUGUCCAUAUCAGACACAGUGUUGUCCACCUGGUUUAAAUCUCUGUCAGUAAUGUUGUCCACGUAGUUAAAUCUGUGUCAGAUGCAUUGUGUAUUCUAUAUCCUGUCAGGGAUGUUAUCCAGGUAGAGUAUUCUAUAUCCUGUCAGUGAUGUUGUAUUCUAUAUCCUGUCAGUGAUGUUAUCCAGGUAGAGUAUUCUAUAUCCUGUCAGUGAUGUUAUCCAGGUAGAGUAUUCUAUAUCCUGUCAGUGAUGUUAUCCAGGUGGAGUAUUCUAUAUCCUGUCAGGGAUGUUAUCCAGGUAGAGUAUUCUAUAUCCUGUCAGUGAUGUUGUCCAGGUAGAGUAUUCUAUAUCCUGUCAGUGAUGUUAUCCAGGUAGAGUAUUCUAUAUCCUGUCAGUGAUGUUGUCCAGGUAGAGUAUUCUAUUUCCUGUCAGUGAUAUUGUAUUCUAUAUCCUGUCAGUGAUGUUGUCCAGGUGUUGUAUUCUAUAUCCUGUCAGUGAUGUUAUCCAGGUAGAGUAUUCUAUUUCCUGUCAGUGAUGUUAUCCAGGUAGAGUAUUCUAUAUCCUGUCAGUGAUGUUAUCCAGGUAGAGUAUUCUAUAUCCUGUCAGUGAUGUUGUCCAGGUAGAGUAUUCUAUUUCCUGUCAGUGAUGUUGUAUUCUAUUUCCUGUCAGUGAUGUUAUCCAGGUAGAGUAUUCUAUAUCCUGUCAGUGAUGUUGUCCAGGUAGAGUAUUCUAUAUCCUGUCAGGGAUGUUAUCCAGGUAGAGUAUUCUAUAUCCUGUCAGUGAUGUUGUAUUCUAUAUCCUGUCAGUGAUGUUGUCCAGGUAGAGUAUUCUAUAUCCUGUCAGUGAUGUUAUCCAGGUAGAGUAUUCUAUUUCCUGUCAGUGAUGUUAUCCAGGUAGAGUAUUCUAUUUCCUGUCAGUGAUGUUGUCCAGGUAGAGUAUUCUAUAUCCUGUCAGUGAUGUUGUCCAGGUAGAGUAUUCUAUAUCCUGUCAGUGAUGUUAUCCAGGUAGAGUAUUCUAUUUCCUGUCAGGGAUGUUAUCCAGGUAGAGUAUUCUAUAUCCUGUCAGUGAUGUUGUCCAGGUAGAGUAUUCUAUAUCCUGUCAGGGAUGUUGUCCAGGUAGAGUAUUCUAUAUCCUGUCAGUGAUGUUGUCCCUAAUGGAAAGGCAUGUCAGAGCCCUGUCCUCCAGUGAGUCAUGUUUUCUCAUCUUUUCCAUUGUGAAUUUCAUCCGUUUCUCCUCUCAGAGGUAAAAGACAGUGAUGGUGUUUUCUAUCCGAUGCUUGUUAGCUGAGGAGGUCUCCAGCGGUCGGAGGUUGGUAUACCGCGGGGUGUUUCAGGAAGCGUCAUACAGCAAAAGGACUGCUCAUCUUUCACCACCUGAAAACCAGAGAAGAAAACAGUAUUCUAGUUCCAGUAGACAGUGAGGUCCAGUUUGUGUUUUUCACCUAGAUGUCUCCGUACUUUUUCAAUCCCAAUCCAGCCAUUUAGUUUAUAAAUAACACAUUGUUUCUCUUCAGGCUAAUUAUUUGACUUGGAAUAGGAAAAUGCCACACAAAGCUAUAGUACCUAUCGGUGCAGCUGUAUGGCUCUGAAUGGUCAUAUCGGACGGCAACAGGAACAGGAAAUGAACCCACAGGAAAAAACCUUAAGACCAUACCGUAGUGACACAGGGGACAUAACCUCUGAUGAGCUCUGAGCUAAACUCACUGUCAGGAUGAAUAACUUACAGUAGAUGCUUUCGACAUCACUGUGCCAAACCAGCCUGACAUAGUGUAGAAGGGUUCUGACAUAGUGUAGAAGGGUCCUGACAUAGUGUAGAAGGGUCCUAACAUAGUAGAGAAGGGUCCUGACAUAGUGUAGAAGGGUCCUGACAUAGUGUAGAAGGGUCCUGACAUAGUAGAGAAGGGUCCUGACAUAGUGUAGAAGGGUCCUGACAUAGUGUAGAAGGGUCCUGACAUAGUGUAGAAGGGUCCUGACAUAGUGUAGAAGGCUCCUGACAUAGUGUAGAAGGGUCCUGACAUAGUAGAGAAGGGUCCUGACAUAGUGUAGAAGGGUCCUGACAUAGUGUAGAAGGGUCCUGACAUAGAUUAGAAGGGUCCUGACACCGUGGAGAAAGGUCCUGACAUAGUGGAGAAGGGUCCUGACAUAGUGGAGAAGGGUCCUGACAUAGUGGAGAAGGGUCCUGACAUAGUGUAGAAGGGUCCUGACAUAGUGUAGAAGUGUCUUGACAUAGUGUAGAAGGGUUCUGACAGUGUAAAAGGGUUCUGACACCAUAGAAGGGUCCUGACAUAGUGGAGAAGGGUCCUGACAUAGUGUAGAAGGGUCCUGACAUAGUGGAGAAAGGUCCUGACAUAGUGGAGAAGGGUCCUGACAUAGUGGAGAAGGUUCCUGACAUAGUGUAGAAGGGUCCUGACAUAGUGUAGAAGAUUUCCUACAUUGUAAAAGGGUCCUGACAUAGUGUAGAAGGGUCCUGACAUAGUGUAAAGGGUCCUGGCAUAGUGUAGAAGGGUCCUGACAUAGUGGAGAAGGGUCCUGACAUAGUGUAGAAGAUUUCCAACAUUGUAGAAGGGUCCUGACAUAGUGUAGAAGAUUUCCUAAAUUGUAAAAGGGUCCUGACAUAGUGUAGAAGGGUCCUGACAUAGUGUAAAGGGUCCUGGCAUAGUGUAGAAGGGUCCUGUCAUAGUGGAGAAGGGUCCUGACAUAGUGUAGAAGAUUUCCUACAUUGUAAAAGGGUCCUGACAUAGUGUAAAAGGAUCCUGACAUAGUGGAGAAGGGUCCUGACAUAGUGUAGAAGAUUUCCUACAUUGUAGAAGGGUCCUGACAUAGUGUAGAAGGGUCCUGACAUAGUGUAGAAGAUUUCCUACAUUGUAGAAAGGUCCUGACAUAGUGGAGAAGGGUCCUGACAUAGUGGAGAAGGGUCCUGACAUAGUGGAGAAGAGUCCUGACAUAGUGUAGAAGAUUUUCUACAUUGUAGAAGGGUCCUGACAUAGUGUAGAAGGGUCAUGACAUAGUGUAAAAGGGUCCUGACAUAGUGAAUAAGGGUCCUGACAUAGUGUAAAAGGGUCCUGACAUAGUGUAGAAGGGUCCUGACAUAGUGUAGAAGGGUCCUGGCAUAGUGUGGAAGGGUCCUGUCAUAGUGGAGAAGGGUCCUGACAUAGUGUAGAAGAUUUCCUACAUUGUAAAAAGGUCCUGACAUAGUGUAAAAG